UACGAAGGGCCCGAGCGUUGAUCGGAAUCAUUGGGCUUAAAGGGUGCGCAGGCGGGCUUGUUAGUGUCUUGUGAAAUCCCACGGCUCAACCGUGGAACUGCAGGGCAUACUGCAAGUCUUGAGGCCAGUAGGGGCUAUCGGAACUCUAGGUGUAGCGGUGAAAUGCGUAGAUAUCUAGAGGAACGCCAAUGGCGAAGGCAGAUAGCUGGGCUGGUUCUGACGCUCAUGCACGAAAGCGUGGGUAGCGAAGAGG
Molecule: unclassified non-coding RNA, 253 nt
Filed under: uncultured Phycisphaeraceae bacterium
Lineage: Bacteria; Pseudomonadati; Planctomycetota; Phycisphaerae; Phycisphaerales; Phycisphaeraceae
Description: contains 16S-23S intergenic spacer region
Rfam family: Bacterial small subunit ribosomal RNA
Source: RNAcentral